UACGGAGGGUGCAAGCGUUGUCCGGAUUUAUUGGGGUUAAAGGGUGCGUGGGCGGCUAAUUAAGUCAGCGGUGAAAUUCCACAGCUCAACUGUGGAACUGCCAUUGAUACUGGUUGGCUUGAGUACAGAUGAGGUAGGCGGAAUUGACAGUGUAGCGGUGAAAUGCUUAGAUAUUGUCAAGAACACCUAUUGCGAAGGCAGCUUACUAAGCUGUAACUGACGCUGAGGCACGAAAGCGUGGGGAUCAAACAGG
This 253-nucleotide ribosomal RNA is filed under the name uncultured bacterium. Its description in RNAcentral is "partial 16S ribosomal RNA". It matches the Rfam family "Bacterial small subunit ribosomal RNA", at positions 524 to 776 of the family's 1533-position model. The record is from RNAcentral.